GUUCAUGGCCAUACCCCACUGAACACACCUGACCUCAUCUGAUCUCAGAAGUUAAUAAGCAGGCCUGACCCAACUUGCUACUUGGAGGGGUAGUUUGUU
This 99-nucleotide ribosomal RNA is filed under the name Echinops telfairi (small Madagascar hedgehog). Lineage: Eukaryota; Metazoa; Chordata; Mammalia; Afrosoricida; Tenrecidae. The record is from RNAcentral.